CUCAGCAAGUUUAAUACGCGCUUUCUAACUAGGGCAAGGCUCUCGUGCUCGCGUCCCUUUUUAAAGUACGUUAGUCUAUGCUCUAGCAGAUACUCGCGUCGCGGCCGGGCUCACCUCAUGAGGUAGUCCCGGAAGUCCUUGCUCCGGACAUAGUCCGCCGCCUUGCGCACCAGCGCGCCCGCCAUGGCCGUGCCGCACGCAGGCCGCCGUCGCCGCCGCCACUCGGAGCCCCGCAGCCAGGCCCAGCGGACAGAGGGGACACACGCCGCCCGCCGCCCGCGUCACGACAGCUCGGCCCCGCCUUACGGCCGCCGGCGCUCGGCCAAUGGGAGGGCUCGGGGCGGGAGGCGGCCAGCGGAUUGGCCCGCGCGCGCCGCACACCUUCUCCCCGCCCCCCGGGCGCUCGGGGGCGGGGCCUCUGCCGUAAACUGGCCGGACCUGGCGGCGACUGGCGGGCGGUUGCUAGGGGGUUGCUGGGCGGUGACACUCGGGCGGCGUCCGCUCAAGGGCACGGCGCCCGCCUCUCCGGUCCCCGCACCGUCCCCGGUCCCCCCCCCCCCGUCCGCCCCGCGCUGCCGCCAAGUCCACGCAGGCCCCGGCGUGCGAGGGACCUGGAGCCACAGGGUUCGGCGGGGCGGUUUCUGUUGUUCAGGGUUAAUUUUUGUGUUUGAUUCUCCAUCCGGGCCUCCGUGUGGGUGACUCGGGCAUUGGAGACGCUGCAGGGACGGUCUUGGCCCAGGAGCAUCGCCUGGGGGACGGUGACUCGGGCGCGUGUUCACAUUGGUGAUGGGCCAGCACGCGCGGCUCUAGAGCCACAGCCUCCCGGACGGCGGGUGUGCGGUGUCCCGCGAUGCACGCCCUCCCGGCGCACCAACUGGGAGCUGCGGGCGCCCCUCCCGCGGGGAGAGCGAGGUGGUCCCGGUGCCUCCGGUCCUGUCGAGGGGACGCUGUGCAGCAGCAGCAAGAAGAGGCCUCGGUGUGCGCCGGGGCGACCGUUACGUUCACCGGAAAAGCGUCCAGGCGCAGAACGGUGUCGGAUAUGCUGCUCGCGUGUGCACAGGGACAAUGACAGGAGACAGCAGACCGGAGAAACGUCGGGGCUAAGGAGGGUUACAGGUUCGAGGGAUGCGGGAAAGGCCUCACCUACCCUCCUGCUCCCUCUGGCGUUGGUAGGAUGAGCAGGUGUUCGCUCUUAACAAAUAAAUGCGCUAAAGAAGGAGAACUGCUUUUUAGAACUAAAACAGCAGGUCGCUGAUUCAAUCCGAAUCGUGUUCUGCGGGGAUCGCCCCGGGUCAGCCUGGCCUUGGUCUGUGAGUCCCGGGCUGGACACUGCAGCCUCCUGGCAGCGCCGGGAAGGUGGGCACAGCCCCGGUGCUUCCCGGGAGGUGGAGUGGACGCCCUCAAGGGAGGCAAAGGGGUUUGAUGAUUAACAAUGGUAACAGGUGCCUCCUGUUGACCCGUAGGCACUUGUACACCGUUUCUCCUCCUAUCAACCCAGGAGGGGGGUGUAAGAAACUGCUUGGCUUCCUGGAUAAAAACCAAACUGCUCCCCCUCCCCCCACAAACAAACACGCAGACAAAACCACACCAAACUUCCCCUGCGAGAUUGGCGGGCGGAGAGGGCCUCUCGUAGGCCUGUGAUCAUCUCUGAUGUUGAGCAGCCGUCUCCUGAGCGGUGUUCAGCUGGACAAAAGGCUUUCUAAGAGCAGAAAUUCCUAUAAUAGGAAAAACCGUGACCUGUGAAGCGGGUGUAAGCAUGAUGUUCAAUGUUGAGUUUACAUUUCCGGGCAGAAAUUAAAUGAAAGAAGGCAGACAUGAGGGAGCCUGUAUGGUGGGAUUCCACGUGUGUGAAUGUCCAGAGUACACAGUCCACGGACGCAGGAAAUAGAGGGGGGCUGCCUGUGGCCGGGGGGAGCUGGGGAGUC
Myotis daubentonii (Daubenton's bat) is the source of this 1925-nucleotide long non-coding RNA. RefSeq lists it as uncharacterized. NCBI's taxonomy places the organism in Eukaryota, Metazoa, Chordata, Mammalia, Chiroptera, Vespertilionidae. The record is from RefSeq and is a predicted model, not a curated record.